RNAcentral lists this transfer RNA (69 nucleotides) under Ictidomys tridecemlineatus (thirteen-lined ground squirrel). RNAcentral's name for it is "Spermophilus tridecemlineatus (thirteen-lined ground squirrel) tRNA". It matches the Rfam family "tRNA". Rfam says of the family: Transfer RNA (tRNA) molecules are approximately 80 nucleotides in length. Their secondary structure includes four short double-helical elements and three loops (D, anti-codon, and T loops). The record is from Rfam by way of RNAcentral. Lineage: Eukaryota; Metazoa; Chordata; Mammalia; Rodentia; Sciuridae.
GGGGUUGUGGCUCAGUGGCAGAGCACUUGCCUUGCAUGUGUGAGGCAGUGGGUUCGAUCCUCAGCACCA